RNAcentral lists this RNase P RNA (377 nucleotides) under Cyanobacterium stanieri LEGE 03274. Its description in RNAcentral is "RNase P RNA component class A". It matches the Rfam family "Bacterial RNase P class A". From Rfam's summary of the family: Ribonuclease P (RNase P) is a ubiquitous endoribonuclease, found in archaea, bacteria and eukarya as well as chloroplasts and mitochondria. Its best characterised activity is the generation of mature 5'-ends of tRNAs by cleaving the 5'-leader elements of precursor-tRNAs. Lineage: Bacteria; Bacillati; Cyanobacteriota; Cyanophyceae; Chroococcales; Geminocystaceae. The record is from RNAcentral.
AGAGUUAGUGAGGUAGUUGCAAGUUAGGGUUUUCCUGUGAACCUAACUUGAGGAAAGUCCGGACUUCCUAAAGAUCAGACUUGCUGGGUAACGCCCAGUGCGUGUGAACGUGAGGAUAGUGCCACAGAAACAUACCGCCUUUUGAUUAAGGUAAGGGUGCAAAGGUGCGGUAAGAGCGCACCAGCAGUAUCGAGAGGUACUGGCUCGGUAAACCCCGGUUGGAAGCAAGGUCGGAGGAAUGAGGGUUGGUCUUUUUCCUAUUCCGUUUCUGGUGUACCGCUUGAGGUGUUUGGUAACAAACAUCCUAGAUAGAUAACUACCCUCUAUGAUAAAUAAUAUUAUAGAGAACAGAAUCCGGCUUAUGUCUAACUCUCUUU